AUUGAACGCUGGCGGCAUGCCUUACACAUGCAAGUCGAACGGUAACAGGUCUUCGGAUGCUGACGAGUGGCGAACGGGUGAGUAAUACAUCGGAACGUGCCCGAUCGUGGGGGAGUAACGAGGCGAAAGACUUUGUCUAAUACCGCAUACGAUCUACGGAUGAAAGACGGGGGAGUCUUCGGACCUCGCGCGGACGGAGCGGCCGAUGGCAGAUUAGGUAGUUGGUGGGGUAAAGGCUCACCAAGCCGACGAUCUGUAGCUGGUCUGAGAGGACGACCAGCCACACUGGAACUGAGACACGGUCCAGACUCCUACGGGAGGCAGCAGUGGGGAAUUUUGGACAAUGGGGGCGAACCCUGAUCCAGCAAUGCCGCGUGAGUGAAGAAGGCCUUCGGUU
RNAcentral lists this ribosomal RNA (397 nucleotides) under uncultured bacterium. RNAcentral describes it as "bacterial SSU rRNA". It matches the Rfam family "Bacterial small subunit ribosomal RNA", at positions 30 to 423 of the family's 1533-position model. The record is from RNAcentral.